Long non-coding RNA from Mobula hypostoma (lesser devil ray), 837 nucleotides. RefSeq lists it as uncharacterized. The transcript is spliced from 4 exons. The record is from RefSeq and is a predicted model, not a curated record. NCBI's taxonomy places the organism in Eukaryota, Metazoa, Chordata, Chondrichthyes, Myliobatiformes, Myliobatidae.
GGCAUUUACAGGAAAAUAAAGAAAUACAAUGGAGUUUAUGAAAAACUAUACAUAACCAAAGACAGACAAACAACCACUGUGUAAAAGAAUACGAAGUUUGAAGCGUCUUUGAGUUUGUGGAUUCAGUUCAGUGUUAGGUGAUGCUUUUCCCGUGGAUGCUGUGUGUCUGUGAUGCUGCUGCAAGCAUUCGCAGUGGAAUAGAGAAGUACUGUGGAAUGAAUGAAAACCUACACACAAAGACUGACAAACAAUCAAUGUGCAAAAGAAGAUAAACUGUUCAAAUAAGCGAAUAAACAAACAAACAAUACUGAGAACAGGAGUUGUAGAGUCCCUUGAAGCAGCUGGCUGCGAGAGGGAGAGGAAGACUGGUCAAACACAGACAGAUGGUGCCGAACACCCACCCAUCCUUCGCUCUCGUCCUCACUGACUUCAACCUUGCUCGACGCCUCAAUCAGAGAGAAGCAAUGGAGUCCAUCAUGGGCUCUCACCCUGUCUCCAGGCUACCAGGACACACUCUCUGCUCCAAAUAUAUAUAUUUCUUAAUGUAACUUAUAGUAAAUAUUUAGGUACUGUAUUGCAUUGUACGGCUGCUGCAAAGCAACAGAUUUUAUGACAUAUUUCAGUGAUUAUAAACCUGAUUCUGAGCAUUACUAAAAUUGAAUUGACUUUAUUUCUUACAUCCUUCACAUACAUGAGGAGUAAAAAUCUUUAUGUUAUGUCUCCGUCUAAAUGUGCAAUGUGCAAUCAUAGUUAUUUAUAAUAAAUAGAACAGUCAAUGUAACACAGAAUACACUCAAAUCAGCUGAGUUCAUCAGUCUGAUGGCCUGGUGGAAGAAG